RNAcentral lists this unclassified non-coding RNA (421 nucleotides) under soil metagenome. RNAcentral describes it as "partial contains 5.8S ribosomal RNA, internal transcribed spacer 2, and large subunit ribosomal RNA". The stretch from base 1 to 120 matches the Rfam family "5.8S ribosomal RNA", at positions 35 to 154 of the family's 154-position model. The record is from RNAcentral.
GAUGAAGAACGUAGCGAAAUGCGAUAAGUAAUGUGAAUUGCAGAAUUCAGUGAAUCAUCGAAUCUUUGAACGCAUAUUGCGCUCUUUGGUAUUCCGAAGAGCAUGCUUGUUUGAGUAUCAGUAAACACCUCAACCUCUUCUUGAUUUUUCAAAAGGAGGGUGGACUUGAGCUAUCCCAACAACCUUUACCGGUCGGCGGGCGGCUUGAAAUGCAGGUGCAGCUGGACUUUUAUCUGAGCUAAAAGCAUAUCUAUUUAGUCCUCGUCAAACAGGAUUAUUACUUUUGCUGCAGCUAACAUAAAGGAUAAUUGUCCUCUUUGCUGACUGAUGCAGGAUUUUACGACACUUUAUGUGUUGUUCAACUCGAUCUCAAAUCAAGUAAGACUACCCGCUGAACUUAAGCAUAUCAAUAAGGGGAGGA